Molecule: long non-coding RNA, 278 nt
Filed under: Cicer arietinum (chickpea)
Lineage: Eukaryota; Viridiplantae; Streptophyta; Magnoliopsida; Fabales; Fabaceae
Description: long non-coding RNA (CARI_LNC001179)
Source: RNAcentral
UUCAUCUUUAAAAAAAUACGAAUAAUAUUAAUUAUUAAUAUUGAUGAUCUCAAAAAUUAAUAAUGUGUUUUUGUAAAUAUACCUAAAUGAUAUGAUUAGUAGGGGUCACUAUACAUAAAUUUCUACCAAAAUGAGUUGCAACGACGGAUUUGAAUAGUCAAGAUUUGUCGUGAACCACCCUUCGUUCGAGCCUUCACCGUCGUGCGCUCUCCAAACCAAAUCCCCUCCUCUCUUUGUUGUCCAAACUCGUUGUGGGUGUUUGGUUUCUUACGAGAAAC